This 126-nucleotide ribosomal RNA is filed under the name Vibrio parahaemolyticus. RNAcentral describes it as "partial 16S ribosomal RNA". It matches the Rfam family "Bacterial small subunit ribosomal RNA", at positions 1 to 106 of the family's 1533-position model. Lineage: Bacteria; Pseudomonadati; Pseudomonadota; Gammaproteobacteria; Vibrionales; Vibrionaceae. The record is from RNAcentral.
CUUAAAUUGAAGAGUUUGAUCAUGGCUCAGAUUGAACGCUGGCGGCAGGCCUAACACAUGCAAGUCGAGCGGAAACGAGUUAUCUGAACCUUCGGGGGACGAUAACGGCGUCGAGCGGCGGACGGG